UAGGGAAUCUUGGACAAUGGGCGAAAGCCUGAUCCAGCCAUGCCGCGUGAGUGAAGAAGGCCCUAGGGUUGUAAAGCUCUUUUGGCGGGGACGAUAAUGACGGUACCCGCAGAAUAAGCCCCGGCUAACUUCGUGCCAGCAGCCGCGGUAAUACGAAGGGGGCUAGCGUUGUUCGGAAUUACUGGGCGUAAAGCGCACGCAGGCGGAUUGGUAAGUUAGAGGUGAAAUCCCGGGGCUCAACCUCGGAAUUGCCUUUGAUACUGCCAGUCUUGAGUCCGGGAGAGGUGAGUGGAAUUCCUAGUGUAGAGGUGAAAUUCGUAGAUAUUAGGAAGAACACCAGUGGCGAAGGCGGCUCACUGGCCCGGAACUGACGCUCAGGUGCGAAAGCGUGGGGAGCAAACAGGAUUAGAUACCCCCGUAGUCC
This 424-nucleotide ribosomal RNA is filed under the name uncultured prokaryote. Its description in RNAcentral is "bacterial SSU rRNA". It matches the Rfam family "Bacterial small subunit ribosomal RNA", at positions 355 to 796 of the family's 1533-position model. The record is from RNAcentral.